CAAGCAGAGGCCAAGACUCACUGACUGAGCAGGACCAGGCAGCCUCGGCAGACAAGAGGCCGGCAGAGGGCAAGGCUGAGAGCCCGCUCAAGGGCCGACUGGUGACCUCAUGGCGGAUGCCCGGGGACCGGCCCACGCU
Molecule: long non-coding RNA, 139 nt
Filed under: Chinchilla lanigera (long-tailed chinchilla)
Lineage: Eukaryota; Metazoa; Chordata; Mammalia; Rodentia; Chinchillidae
Description: lncRNA (ENSCLAG00000025317.1)
Source: RNAcentral